This 261-nucleotide unclassified non-coding RNA is filed under the name plant metagenome. Its description in RNAcentral is "partial contains small subunit ribosomal RNA, internal transcribed spacer 1, and 5.8S ribosomal RNA". The stretch from base 213 to 261 matches the Rfam family "5.8S ribosomal RNA", at positions 1 to 49 of the family's 154-position model. The record is from RNAcentral.
UUUCCGUAGGUGAACCUGCGGAAGGAUCAUUAUUGAGUGAAACACUUCUGGCUUUAUGCUGUUGUGCUGGCCCUUUGGGCAAUGUGCACACGGCUCUGGUCACUUGUUUCUUCUGUUCCACCUAUGCACUGCCUGUAGACACGCUGUGUCUAUGAUAUUUGUUAACACACAACAAUGUUAGUUGGCAUGUUAUAUAUAAUAAUAAAAUAUACAACUUUCAACAACGGAUCUCUUGGCUCUCGCAUCGGUGAAGAACGCAGC